This 702-nucleotide ribosomal RNA is filed under the name Entrophospora etunicata. RNAcentral describes it as "SSU rRNA". It matches the Rfam family "Eukaryotic small subunit ribosomal RNA", at positions 378 to 1075 of the family's 1831-position model. Lineage: Eukaryota; Fungi; Glomeromycota; Glomeromycetes; Entrophosporales; Entrophosporaceae. The record is from RNAcentral.
CGAUUCCGGAGAGGGAGCCUGAGAAACGGCUACCACAUCCAAGGAAGGCAGCAGGCGCGCAAAUUACCCAAUCCCGACACGGGGAGGUAGUGACAAUAAAUAACAAUACGGGGCUCUUUCGGGUCUCGUAAUUGGAAUGAGUACAAUUUAAAUCCCUUAACGAGGAACAAUUGGAGGGCAAGUCUGGUGCCAGCAGCCGCGGUAAUUCCAGCUCCAAUAGCGUAUAUUAAAGUUGUUGCAGUUAAAAAGCUCGUAGUUGAAUUUCGGGAUUGACACAUCGGUCGUGCCUUAAGGGGUAUGAACUGGUGUAGUCAAUUUCUCACCUUCUGGAGAACCGCGAUGCCCUUAAUUGGGUGUCACGGGGAACCAGGACCUUUACUUUGAAAAAAUUAGAGUGUUUAAAGCAGGCAUUUUGCUUGAAUACAUUAGCAUGGAAUAAUAAAAUAGGACGGCAUGAUUCUAUUUUGUUGGUUUCUAGGAUCACCGUAAUGAUUAAUAGGGAUAGUUGGGGGCAUUAGUAUUCAAUUGUCAGAGGUGAAAUUCUUGGAUUUAUUGAAGACUAACUACUGCGAAAGCAUUUGCCAAGGAUGUUUUCAUUAAUCAAGAACGAAAGUUAGGGGAUCGAAGACGAUCAGAUACCGUCGUAGUCUUAACCAUAAACUAUGCCGACUAGGAAUCAGACGAUGUUAAUUUUUUAAUGAC